Molecule: ribosomal RNA, 113 nt
Filed under: Rhytidium rugosum
Lineage: Eukaryota; Viridiplantae; Streptophyta; Bryopsida; Hypnales; Rhytidiaceae
Description: 5.8S ribosomal RNA
Rfam family: 5.8S ribosomal RNA (bases 18-113)
About the family: 5.8S ribosomal RNA (5.8S rRNA) is a component of the large subunit of the eukaryotic ribosome. It is transcribed by RNA polymerase I as part of the 45S precursor that also contains 18S and 28S rRNA. Functionally, it is thought that 5.8S rRNA may be involved in ribosome translocation.
Source: RNAcentral
AAACAACUCUUUAAACAACUUUUCAACAACGGUAUCUCUAGGCUCCUGCAUCGAUGAAGAACGCAGCGAAAUGCGAUAAGUAAUGUGAAUUGCAGAAUUCAGUGAAUCAUCGA